Molecule: transfer RNA, 76 nt
Filed under: Clostridiales bacterium
Lineage: Bacteria; Bacillati; Bacillota; Clostridia; Eubacteriales
Also listed under: 2 other names
Description: tRNA-Pro
Rfam family: tRNA
About the family: Transfer RNA (tRNA) molecules are approximately 80 nucleotides in length. Their secondary structure includes four short double-helical elements and three loops (D, anti-codon, and T loops). Further hydrogen bonds mediate the characteristic L-shaped molecular structure. tRNAs have two regions of fundamental functional importance: the anti-codon, which is responsible for specific mRNA codon recognition, and the 3' end, to which the tRNAs corresponding amino acid is attached (by aminoacyl-tRNA synthetases). tRNAs cope with the degeneracy of the genetic code in two manners: having more than one tRNA (with a specific anti-codon) for a particular amino acid; and 'wobble' base-pairing, i.e. permitting non-standard base-pairing at the 3rd anti-codon position.
Source: RNAcentral
CUGGGUGUAGCGCAGAUGGUAGCGUGCUUGAAUGGGGUUCAAGAGGCCGGGAGUUCAAGUCUCCCCACUCAGACCA